AUUGAACGCUGGCGGCAUGCUUUACACAUGCAAGUCGAACGGUAACAGGGUGCUUGCACCGCUGACGAGUGGCGAACGGGUGAGUAAUGCGUCGGAACGUGCCGAGUAGUGGGGGAUAACGCAGCGAAAGUUGUGCUAAUACCGCAUACGUACUGAGGUAGAAAGUGGGGGACCUUCGGGCCUCACGCUAUUCGAGCGGCCGACGUCUGAUUAGCUAGUAGGUGAGGUAAAGGCUCACCUAGGCGACGAUCAGUAGCGGGUCUGAGAGGAUGAUCCGCCACACUGGGACUGGGACGCGGCCCAGACUCCUGCGGGAGGCAGCAGUGGGGAAUUUUGGACAAUGGGCGAAAGCCUGAUCCAGCCAUGCCGCGUGUCUGAAGAAGGCCUUCGGGUUGUAAAGGACUUUUGUCGGGGAGGAAAUCCCCAGCGUUAAUACUGCUGGGGGAUGACAGUACCUGAAGAAUAAGCACCGGCUAACUACGUGCCAGCCGCCGCGGUAA
This 500-nucleotide ribosomal RNA is filed under the name uncultured bacterium. RNAcentral's name for it is "partial 16S ribosomal RNA". It matches the Rfam family "Bacterial small subunit ribosomal RNA", at positions 30 to 523 of the family's 1533-position model. The record is from RNAcentral.